UCCGUAGGCGGGCAAUUAAGUCAGAGGUGAAAUCCCACAGCUCAACUGUGGAACUGCCUUUGAUACUGGUUGUCUUGAGUUACAGUGAAGUAGAUAGAAUAUGUAGUGUAGCGGUGAAAUGCAUAGAUAUUACAUAGAAUACCGAUUGGGAAGGCAGUCUACUAACUGUAUACUGACGCUAAUGGACGAAAGCGUGGGGAGCGAACAGGAUUAGAUACCCUGGUAGUCC
RNAcentral lists this ribosomal RNA (229 nucleotides) under uncultured bacterium. Its description in RNAcentral is "partial 16S ribosomal RNA". It matches the Rfam family "Bacterial small subunit ribosomal RNA", at positions 568 to 796 of the family's 1533-position model. The record is from RNAcentral.